This 476-nucleotide ribosomal RNA is filed under the name uncultured organism. RNAcentral's name for it is "bacterial SSU rRNA". It matches the Rfam family "Bacterial small subunit ribosomal RNA", at positions 29 to 507 of the family's 1533-position model. The record is from RNAcentral.
AGUGAACGCUGGCGGCGUGGAUUAGGCAUGCAAGUCGAGCGAUCCCGCAAGGGAUAGCGGCAAAAGAGUGAGUAACACGUAAGUAAUCUUCCCUUAAGACGAGAAUAGCACUGUGAAAACGGUGGUAAUACUCGAUGUUCUCAAGGUUCCGCAAUGGACGAAAGUCCGUAAGGCCCGUCACUUGAGGAUGAGCUUGCGUACCAUCAGCUAGUUGGUAGGGUAACGGCCUACCAAGGCUAAGACGGUUAGCUGGUCUGAGAGGACGGUCAGCCACACUGGGACUGAGACACUGCCCAGACUCCUACGGGAGGCUGCAGUCGAGGAUAUUUAGCAAUGGACGAAAGUCUGACUAUGCGACGCCGCGUGCAGGAUGAAGGUCUUCGGAUUGUAAACUGCUUUUGUUAGGGGAGAAACCUGAAACGCUAAUAACGUUUCAGCUGACGGUACCUGACGAAUAAGCCACGGCAAACUCUGUG